UACGUAUGGUGCAAGCGUUAUCCGGAUUUACUGGGUGUAAAGGGAGCGCAGGCGGCACGGCAAGCCUGAUGUGAAAGCCCGCGGCCCAACCGCGGGACUGCAUUGGAAACUGGCGGGCUGGAGUGCCGGAGAGGUAAGCGGAAUUCCUAGUGUAGCGGUGAAAUGCGUAGAUAUUAGGAGGAACACCAGUGGCGAAGGCGGCUUACUGGACGGCAACUGACGCUGAGGCUCGAAAGCGUGGGGAGCAAACAGG
This 253-nucleotide ribosomal RNA is filed under the name uncultured bacterium. RNAcentral describes it as "partial 16S ribosomal RNA". It matches the Rfam family "Bacterial small subunit ribosomal RNA", at positions 524 to 776 of the family's 1533-position model. The record is from RNAcentral.